UACAGAGGGUGCGAGCGUUGUCCGGAAUCAUGUCGUGGGCGUAAAGGGCGCGUAGGUGGUGGCUUAAGCGUGCCGGUGAAAGCUCCGGGGCUCAACUCCGAGUCGGCCGUGCGAACUGGGCUCACUGGAGCAUAGUAGAGGCAGGUGGAAUUCCGGGUGUAGCGGUGGAAUGCGUAGAGAUCCGGAAGAACACCGGUGGCGAAGGCGGGUCUCUGGGCCGAUACUGACGCUGAGGAGCGAAAGCGUGGGAGCGAACAGGAUUAG
Molecule: ribosomal RNA, 264 nt
Filed under: uncultured bacterium
Lineage: Bacteria
Description: partial 16S ribosomal RNA
Rfam family: Bacterial small subunit ribosomal RNA
Source: RNAcentral